ACCUAGCCUGCGGCCAGAUCGCAGGAGGACCCGGGCUGCCUGCCUCGCCAUCCACUCUCACCUGAGCGAAGAAGGAAGCCCCAGGGCAGGGGCUGUCACCGUCCAGCGCCUCACUGUCACUCUCAGGGGCGGCAAGGCAAGAUAACUAUGGCCCAACAAAGCACAGCAAGCAGUAUGCAGGAGCCUGGUCACACUCAGGAGAGCUUAUUAUUAAAUGCCCAAGGAAUUUGCAAUUCAGUUGUUUAACCAGUCAUAGCUUGAAAUCAGCCUGGUAUAAAGAUAUGAAUGCUGCUGCCAAGUCGCUUCAGUCGUGUCCGACUCUGUGUGACCCCAUGGACUGCAGCCUACCAGGUUUCUCCAUCCAUGGGAUUCUCCAGGCAAGAACACUGGAGUGGGCUGCCAUUUCCUUCUCCAAUGAAUGAAAGUGGAAAGUGAAAGUGAAGUCGCUCAGUCGUGUCCAACUCUUAGCGACCCCAUAGACUGCAGCCUACCAGGCUCCUCCAUCCAUGGGAUUUUCCGGGCAACAGGACUGGAGUGGGGUGCCACUGCCUUCUCCCAAAGAUAUGAAUAACAC
Long non-coding RNA from Bos taurus (domestic cattle), 574 nucleotides. Lineage: Eukaryota; Metazoa; Chordata; Mammalia; Artiodactyla; Bovidae. The record is from Ensembl.